AGAUUGAACGCUGGCGGCAGGCCUAACACAUGCAAGUCGAGCGGCAGCACGGGUACUUGUACCUGGUGGCGAGCGGCGGACGGGUGAGUAAUGCCUAGGAAUCUGCCUGGUAGUGGGGGAUAACGCUCGGAAACGGACGCUAAUACCGCAUACGUCCUACGGGAGAAAGCAGGGGACCUUCGGGCCUUGCGCUAUCAGAUGAGCCUAGGUCGGAUUAGCUAGUGGUGAGGUAAUGGCUCACCAAGGCGACGAUCCGUAACUGGUCUGAGAGGAUGAUCAGUCACACUGAACUGAGACACGGUCCAGACUCCGUACGGGAGCAGCAGUGGGAAUA
This 334-nucleotide ribosomal RNA is filed under the name uncultured soil bacterium. Its description in RNAcentral is "bacterial SSU rRNA". It matches the Rfam family "Bacterial small subunit ribosomal RNA", at positions 26 to 363 of the family's 1533-position model. The record is from RNAcentral.